This 214-nucleotide ribosomal RNA is filed under the name Heterosigma akashiwo. RNAcentral describes it as "partial Eukaryotic large subunit ribosomal RNA". It matches the Rfam family "Eukaryotic large subunit ribosomal RNA", at positions 2981 to 3196 of the family's 3401-position model. The record is from RNAcentral. Lineage: Eukaryota; Raphidophyceae; Chattonellales; Chattonellaceae.
GGUUAGUUUUACCCUACUGAUGAAUGUCGUCCCAAUGGUAAUACCGCUUAGUACGAGAGGAACCGCGGAUUCAGAUAAUUGGUUUUUGCGGCUGUCCGACCGGGCAGUGCCGCGAAGCUACCAUCUGCUGGAUUAUGGCUGAACGCCUCUAAGUCAGAAUCCAUGCCAGAAAGGGACGAUUUCCUCCUGCACGUCGUAGUUGGAUACGAAUAGG